Molecule: ribosomal RNA, 497 nt
Filed under: uncultured bacterium
Lineage: Bacteria
Description: partial 16S ribosomal RNA
Rfam family: Bacterial small subunit ribosomal RNA
Source: RNAcentral
GAUGAACGCUGGCGGCGUGCCUAAUACAUGCCAGUCGAGCGAACAGACGAGGAGCUUGCUCCUCUGACGUUAGCGGCGGACGGGUGAGUAACACGUGGAUAACCUACCUAUAAGACUGGGAUAACUUCGGGAAACCGGAGCUAAUACCGGAUAAUAUAUUGAACCGCAUGGUUCAAUAGUGAAAGACGGUUUUGCUGUCACUUAUAGAUGGAUCCGCGCCACAUUAGCUAGUUGGUAAGGUAACGGCUUACCAAGGCAACGAUGCGUAGCCGACCUGAGAGGGUGAUCGGCCACACUGGAACUGAGACACGGUCCAGACUCCUACGGGAGGCAGCAGUAGGGAAUCUUCCGCAAUGGGCGAAAGCCUGACGGAGCAACGCCGCGUGAGUGAUGAAGGUCUUCGGAUCGUAAAACUCUGUUAUUAGGGAAGAACAAAUGUGUAAGUAACUAUGCACGUCUUGACGGUACCUAAUCAGAAAGCCACGGCUAACUACGUG